Molecule: ribosomal RNA, 428 nt
Filed under: uncultured eukaryote
Lineage: Eukaryota
Description: bacterial SSU rRNA
Rfam family: Eukaryotic small subunit ribosomal RNA
Source: RNAcentral
CAAUAGCGUAUAUUAAAGUUGUUGCAGUUAAAAAGCUCGUAGUCGGAUUUCGGGGCGGGCCGAGCGGUCUGCCGAUGGGUAUGCACUGUUCGGCGCGUCCUUCUUUCCGGAGACCGCGCCUACUCUUAGCUGAGCGGGCGCGGGAGACGGAUCGUUUACUUUGAAAAAUCAGAGUGUUUCAAGCAGGCAGCUCGCUCUUGCAUGGAUUAGCAUGGGAUAAUGAAAUAGGACUUGUGCAUUUGUUUGGUUUCGGUAACAACCGAACGGUAAUAGAUUAACUAAGGGGACAGUCAGGGGGCACUCGUAUUCCGCCGAGAGAGGUGAAAUUCUCAGACCAGCGGAAGACGAACCACUGCGAAAGCAUUUGCCAAGGAUGUUUUCAUUGAUCAAGAACGAAAGUUAGGGGAUCGAAGACGAUCAGAUACCGU